Long non-coding RNA from Mya arenaria, 277 nucleotides. RefSeq lists it as uncharacterized. The record is from RefSeq and is a predicted model, not a curated record. NCBI's taxonomy places the organism in Eukaryota, Metazoa, Mollusca, Bivalvia, Myida, Myidae. The transcript has 3 exons.
UUUUUAAACUAUAAACAUCGUACAUUUAUGCUUUGGCUUGUGUUGUCAAAUCGGCAUUAAUGGCCAUUUAAUAUCCGGUUCAACAUGGACACGAUUGAUUUCAUUCAAGAUAGAGCACUUUGUCGACGGGAAAUCCAAUCAAGAAAACCCUGACCCUCAAGCAGCUACUGUAUUUGACCAGCUCACACCAGAACUGAAGCUAACAUCAUUGAGGUACAUCCUUCCAAGAAUCCAUCAAAACAACAUGCUGAACAACUUCAAGAACUCUCUUCAAAAG